GGAGGAUCCAAGCGUUAUCCGGAAUCAUUGGGUUUAAAGGGUCCGUAGGCGGUUUUGUAAGUCAGUGGUGAAAGCCCAUCGCUCAACGGUGGAACGGCCAUUGAUACUGCAAGACUUGAAUUACUAGGAAGUAACUAGAAUAUGUAGUGUAGCGGUGAAAUGCUUAGAGAUUACAUGGAAUACCAAUUGCGAAGGCAGGUUACUACUAGUGGAUUGACGCUGAUGGACGAAAGCGUGGGUAGCGAACAGGAUUAGAUACCCUGGUAGUCCACGCCGUAAACGAUGGAUACUAGCUGUUGGGGAGCAAUCUCAGUGGGYWAAGCSAAAGUGAUARKUAUCCCCMCCUGGGGGAGUACGGGC
RNAcentral lists this ribosomal RNA (360 nucleotides) under uncultured bacterium. RNAcentral describes it as "bacterial SSU rRNA". It matches the Rfam family "Bacterial small subunit ribosomal RNA", at positions 527 to 887 of the family's 1533-position model. The record is from RNAcentral.